UGCAGUCGAGCGGUAGCACAAGAGAGCUUGCUCUCGGGUGACGAGCGGCGGACGGGUGAGUAAUGUCUGGGAAACUGCCUGAUGGAGGGGGAUAACUACUGGAAACGGUAGCUAAUACCGCAUAACGUCGCAAGACCAAAGUGGGGGACCUUCGGGCCUCAUGCCAUCAGAUGUGCCCAGAUGGGAUUAGCUAGUAGGUGGGGUAACGGCUCACCUAGGCGACGAUCCCUAGCUGGUCUGAGAGGAUGACCAGCCACACUGGAACUGAGACACGGUCCAGACUCCUACGGGAGGCAGCAGUGGGGAAUAUUGCACAAUGGGCGCAAGCCUGAUGCAGCCAUGCCGCGUGUGUGAAGAAGGCCUUCGGGUUGUAAAGCACUUUCAGCGGGGAGGAAGGCGGUGAGGUUAAUAACCUUGUCGAUUGACGUUACCCGCAGAAGAAGCACCGGCUAACUCCGUGCCAGCAGCCGCGGUAAUACGGAGGGUGCAAGCGUUAAUCGGAAUUACUGGGCGUAAAGCGCACGCAGGCGGUCUGUCAAGUCGGAUGUGAAAUCCCCGGGCUCAACCUGGGAACUGCAUUCGAAACUGGCAGGCUAGAGUCUUGUAGAGGGGGGUAGAAUUCCAGGUGUAGCGGUGAAAUGCGUAGAGAUCUGGAGGAAUACCGGUGGCGAAGGCGGCCCCCUGGACAAAGACUGACGCUCAGGUGCGAAAGCGUGGGGAGCAAACAGGAUUAGAUACCCUGGUAGUCCACGCCGUAAACGAUGUCGAUUUGGAGGUUGUGCCCUUGAGGCGUGGCUUCCGGAGCUAACGCGUUAAAUCGACCGCCUGGGGAGUACGGCCGCAAGGUUAAAACUCAAAUGAAUUGACGGGGGCCCGCACAAGCGGUGGAGCAUGUGGUUUAAUUCGAUGCAACGCGAAGAACCUUACCUGGUCUUGACAUCCACAGAACUUUCCAGAGAUGGAUUGGUGCCUUCGGGAACUGUGAGACAGGUGCUGCAUGGCUGUCGUCAGCUCGUGUUGUGAAAUGUUGGGUUAAGUCCCGCAACGAGCGCAACCCUUAUCCUUUGUUGCCAGCGGUUCGGCCGGGAACUCAAAGGAGACUGCCAGUGAUAAACUGGAGGAAGGUGGGGAUGACGUCAAGUCAUCAUGGCCCUUACGACCAGGGCUACACACGUGCUACAAUGGCAUAUACAAAGAGAAGCGACCUCGCGAGAGCAAGCGGACCUCAUAAAGUAUGUCGUAGUCCGGAUUGGAGUCUGCAACUCGACUCCAUGAAGUCGGAAUCGCUAGUAAUCGUAGAUCAGAAUGCUACGGUGAAUACGUUCCCGGGCCUUGUACACACCGCCCGUCACACCAUGGGAGUGGGUUGCAAAAGAAGUAGGUAGCU
Molecule: ribosomal RNA, 1387 nt
Filed under: Klebsiella pneumoniae
Lineage: Bacteria; Pseudomonadati; Pseudomonadota; Gammaproteobacteria; Enterobacterales; Enterobacteriaceae
Description: bacterial SSU rRNA
Rfam family: Bacterial small subunit ribosomal RNA
Source: RNAcentral